AUUGAACGCUGGCGGCAUGCUUUACACAUGCAAGUCGAACGGUAACAGGCCGCAAGGUGCUGACGAGUGGCGAACGGGUGAGUAAUGCAUCGGAACGUGCCCAGUCGUGGGGGAUAACUACUCGAAAGAGUAGCUAAUACCGCAUACGAUCUAUGGAUGAAAGCGGUGGACCGUAAGGCCUCGCGCGAUUGGAUCGGCCGAUGUCAGAUUAGGUAGUUGGUGGGGUAAAGGCUCACCAAGCCAACGAUCUGUAGCUGGUCUGAGAGGACGACCAGCCACACUGGGACUGAGACACGGCCCAGACUCCUACGGGAGGCAGCAGUGGGGAAUUUUGGACAAUGGGCGCAAGCAUGAUCCAGCAAUGCCGCGUGCAGGAAGAAGGCCUUCGGGUUGUAAACUGCUUUUGUACGGAACGAAACGGCUCUGGUUAAUACCCGGGGCUAAUGACGGUACCGUAAGAAUAAGCACCGGCUAACUACGUG
This 482-nucleotide ribosomal RNA is filed under the name uncultured bacterium. RNAcentral describes it as "partial 16S ribosomal RNA". It matches the Rfam family "Bacterial small subunit ribosomal RNA", at positions 30 to 507 of the family's 1533-position model. The record is from RNAcentral.